AAGUUCUGUGGGUUCUUUAAACUUUCCAUCUUAAUAUCUAGACUAUUCAAAGUGAGUCUUCAAAACUAUGCCACUUAUGAAGAUCCACACAGCUUAGUAAGCUAUUGCAUCGAGUUUUGUAAAGGAAUAUUUUCGUCAUAAAUUUGUUCUUGUCUUAAAAAGAGAAAGCCAAGGCAAAUUUUAAAGCAGCAUUUUGACUUUAAUGAAAAAUUGAUUGGCUAAAACAGAUGUCAGACUGAAACUACAAAGAGCCCAGGCAUUAUGCAGGGAAUGAAGACAUUUGGAGAAGAAGCGUUUACUGAAAGGAGAUUCCUGGGCUGGAGGAAAACCAUGAUCUACAGUUCAUGUUGACAGAUAUUGUAUUUUUGGUCCUAGAUCUGACUUUUGAAAUGACUUAUCACAAAUUCAAAUUUAGCAAUCAUGAGUGAAGUACCCACGAUGUGCUAAGCAUCUACCUCUGCAGAUAGAAGAACACUUACUGUUCCUGAGCAUGGGAGGGAAUAGAAGUUCCUGGGUCCUGGCCUCACCUCAUCAGGCACUGCCAAAUUUGACACCUCCUUCCUGUUCACGGCAGUCCUUUGCGAUAGGGUAUUAGAUGCCACCAAGUAGCUGCAUAACUCACCCAUUUGGUCAGAGCCUGGGUCUAAGCCAGGUCUGACAGACUCCAAAGCAAGCCCUGUUUACAGCAUGACUGGGAUCCAGUGGACGAGGGAACUGAGCUGUCAAAACUAAGUGACUUGAUUGAGGCCAUGCAGCUGGCGAGGGGAGGACCAGGAUCUGAACCCAACUGGGUCUCCCAAGCCUGGGCCACUGAACCAUUUCACCUCUUGGAAAAACUUAAUGGUCAGAGUGGCCCACCCAGUCCAUGGACAGCAUGGAGGAUAAACUGCUUCCCUAGAAAUCCUCUCCAGCAUUCUUGCCACCACGACUUUGGGACACAUUGACCAUGAGGAGGAGCUGGUCAAUGAUGGACAGGAGUCCAGAUUAGCAGAGAUGUGGUAAUAAGGACACCGAUGCCUAAAUACUUGAAAUAUCCAAUAGGAAGCAUUCCACCUUUGUGCAAAUGCGAACCACAUCUCACCAAGUUCAGGCCAAGGCUGCCACCGGUGACGUUUUGGAAAAGAAAAAAAAAAGCGGGGGGAGAGGAGAGAAACAGAGAAGCAAGGAAUGCAGAAGAGAGCAGAGGCCACAAAAACAGCAGCAACGUGUCCUGUGUAUUCUGUUUCCUUGUAAAACUAUGAAGCAUGUUAAGGAGAUACUUCAUUUUUUGAGGAUUCAUACUCUUGUUUAUAUUAUAAUAAAAACAACCCAUGUUCUUUCUAAAAA
Homo sapiens (human) is the source of this 1326-nucleotide long non-coding RNA. Ensembl annotates it as long intergenic non-protein coding RNA 1102. The record is from Ensembl. Lineage: Eukaryota; Metazoa; Chordata; Mammalia; Primates; Hominidae.